GGAUGUGAGGGUGAUCUGGCUGUGACACCUGUCACCCCAUUGAUUGCCAGGGUUGAUUCGGCUCAUCUGGCUGGCUAGGUGGGUGUCCCCUUCCUCCCUCAGCACUUCACGUGUGUACCUCCUGAAGCUGUGCUCCAACCAAGAGGAGGACCACCCCCACAGAGGAGCACCGUUCCUCAUCAAGGGUAUGUGAGUAGCUGCGCUCCCUUGCUAGAGCCUCCGAACAAACUCUACUCCUGAGCUAAGUCCCAACCGCUUAACUUUUUUUUUUUUUUUAAAUAUAUUU
Molecule: small RNA, 286 nt
Filed under: Octodon degus (degu)
Lineage: Eukaryota; Metazoa; Chordata; Mammalia; Rodentia; Octodontidae
Description: 7SK RNA (ENSODEG00000023963.1)
Rfam family: 7SK RNA
About the family: 7SK was discovered as an abundant small nuclear RNA in the mid-70s but a possible function has only recently been suggested. Two independent studies have found that 7SK RNA binds the CDK9/cyclin T complex (known as elongation factor P-TEFb).
Source: Rfam by way of RNAcentral